AAAAAAUCGUAACAAGAUUUCCGUAGGUGAACCUGCGGAAGGAUCAUUACCGAGUGAGGGCCCUCUGGGUCCAACCUCCCACCCGUGUUUAUUUUACCUUGUUGCUUCGGCGGGCCCGCCUUAACUGGCCGCCGGGGGGCUUACGCCCCCGGGCCCGCGCCCGCCGAAGACACCCUCGAACUCUGUCUGAAGAUUGUAGUCUGAGUGAAAAUAUAAAUUAUUUAAAACUUUCAACAACGGAUCUCUUGGUUCCGGCAUCGAUGAAGAACGCAGCGAAAUGCGAUACGUAAUGUGAAUUGCAAAUUCAGUGAAUCAUCGAGUCUUUGAACGCACAUUGCGCCCCCUGGUAUUCCGGGGGGCAUGCCUGUCCGAGCGUCAUUUCUGCCCUCAAGCACGGCUUGUGUGUUGGGCCCCGUCCUCCGAUCCCGGGGGACGGGCCCGAAAGGCAGCGGCGGCACCGCGUCCGGUCCUCGAGCGUAUGGGGCUUUGUCACCCGCUCUGUAGGCCCGGCCGGCGCUUGCCGAUCAACCCAAAUUUUUAUCCAGGUUGACCUCGGAUCAGGUAGGGAUACCCGCUGAACUUAAGCAUAUCAAUAAGCGGAGGAAAAGAAA
Molecule: small RNA, 611 nt
Filed under: Penicillium rubens
Lineage: Eukaryota; Fungi; Ascomycota; Eurotiomycetes; Eurotiales; Aspergillaceae
Description: eukaryotic LSU rRNA
Rfam family: 5.8S ribosomal RNA (bases 226-378)
Source: RNAcentral